RNAcentral lists this long non-coding RNA (6006 nucleotides) under Sus scrofa (pig). RNAcentral's name for it is "lncRNA (ENSSSCG00015013399.1)". The record is from RNAcentral. Lineage: Eukaryota; Metazoa; Chordata; Mammalia; Artiodactyla; Suidae.
AUGGAGGAUAAUGUGAGAAAAAGAAUGUGUAUCUAUGUAUGACUGGGUCACUUUGCUGUACAGCAGAAAUGACAGAGCAUUGUCAAUCAGCUAUAAUUUAAAACCUUUUUUUAAAAAAAGUAAGAUUUUUUUGGAUCAGUGGAAACAAAUCCACCUAGGAUCCGUAAGGAUGUGGGUUUGACCCCUGGCCUCACUCAGUGGGUCAGGGAUCUGGCGUUGCCAGAAGCUGUGGUAAAGGUUGCAGACGUGGCUCGGAUCCUGUGUUGCUGUGGCUGUGGUGUAGGCCAGCAGCUGUGGCUCCAAUUUGACCCCUAGCCUGGGAACUUUCAUAUGCCAUGGAUGUGGGCCUAAAAAAGCUAAAAAUAAAAUACAAAAAUAAGAAAGUAAAAAUAGUUAAGAUUUAAAAAAAAACGCUUGGAAGGCAUUUUUCUGCCCUUGCAUUGAUCUCAUCCAGAAAACCUGAUCCAGGGGCAGGAAGGUGAUGUGGCGCCGAGGAGAACCAAAGAUUUGGCCAGAUCUACAGGUCACUUUGGCCAAGGUUACGAGUGAGGUCUCAGAGAUGGGGCAAAAAAAGACUGACUUGGAUGUUUUCAGUCUCAAAAAUUAAAGUCAGGUUCAUGUCCAUUGGAACCAGCUUUCCCAGGUGGGCAGCCAGCACUCCCAUUUUCCCCAAGUUUCAGGAGUUCCCUGUGCCUGGCCUGGAGAAAAGGGAAAACUCCAUCAAGUCUCUGGGAGCUGACGCUGGGGCAGGCCGGUCCCCUGCAGAUCCCACAGGGUUCUGGGUGAAUGGCAGAUGCACUGCUGGCUCUGGGACGCUCUCAGCCAGAACCCUGGUGCCUCUUCUGCUCUUUGCAUAACUGGAAAUGUGUUCUUAAUAUUUACAACUCUUACUUCUAUUAGGUUCUUGGGGAUGAAGCCUUGAGCAGCCAACUCUGGGAGGCAGCAGGUUCACCAAGAAGGGGAAAGGCUCUAACACUUAAAAACCACCAGGCAGAUGCUUAAGGAAGCAGGCCUCUUGGGAGGUGAAAGGCUAAGAGUGGACACCAGGACUGUUAAAAACAGCUCUUGGGAGUUCCCUGGGGGCCUACAGUUAAGGAUCUAGCAUUGUCACUGCAGUGGCUUGGGUUCAGUCCCUGGCCCAGGAAAUUUCACAUGGCAUGGGCAUGUGAAAAUAAAUAAAAAAACCUGUCCUGGCAUUAAGAAUUGCAUAUAAAGAAAUAUACGUAUUUCAGGAGUAAGAGUUGUUGUCUUGUCCCCAAAUCAGUUAGAAAUCUGAAUAACUGUCCAAUGCAACAGAUACUGCCCCAAACCCACACCCUCUUGUCCUCCAGUUCACAUGCCCACAUUUGGUUUGGUAAUUCACUCUCCUCUUCCUGGUCAGGAUGGGCCUCACCAAUUCCAACACAGUAACUCCUCCCCUUGUCUCUGAUUGGCUGGGGCUGAAGACGAGGCCUAAUUCUGGCCAAUGAGAUGCAUGGGAAAGUCGGGGAGGCUGGGGCUCAGGAAAGUUUCCCUCAUUUUUAAUGAGACCCCAAGUAGAGCCGGUGGGGAGGGAAGCUGGCCAGAGAGCAGACCUAUGGAGCGAGCCUAAUGCCUUGACCUCGUGAGCCCUGGAUGUAACCCGUCAUGAAGCUGCCCAAGGUCUGCACUUAGGUUUUAUCAAAAUUUUAAUGUUCUGAGAAUUUAAAUCAUCUUGAGUAGAGUUUUCUCCCACUUGCAGAGGAAGGAAUCCUAAUUGAUACUUCUCAUAAUCUAAGCAAUUGGGGCACCACAAAUUACCUUGGAAUUAAAAAAAUAAAAUAAAAAAGAAAACCACAACCGAAAAACGUCUCUGUCACAAAAGGUUCAGAAACAGCUUCCCUGUCCUCUCCCUGCAAAGCGCAGGGCAGCUUGAGAAGAUCAUGACCAUGGCAGCUGCUCUGCUCUGCCCUCCCCAGGGGCCUCUCUGCCAGGUAUGCAUCUGGGUGAGGGUCCAUGAUGCUGGCAGACAGGCAAGGGCACAGGAGGCUGAGGGAAGGCAGUAUAUGUGUUUCAAGGAUGUCAGAGAGGUCAAAACCAGCCCCUGUUUCGAGUGGGGAGUCCUGAGUUUUGUCCUCAGACUGUGCUCCUCCCUUCUUGCCCUCGGGCCGGAAGUUCCCCCAAAGACUCAGGGGACAAUUCCCUGGCUACAUAAAAUGCCCCUGAUGACACUGGAGACUGGCUUUCACAAGUCAAGCCUCCUUCACUGAUGUGAAACUUCAAACAACUUCCAAAUAAGACCCAGCCCCAGGGCUGGAACACCAAUUGGAGUUAGAAGCCCAGCACUCCCCGUGCUUCCGAGUAGGGACUGAAGGUGAGGCAGCCCCCAGCCCAAACGCUCCUUAUGGAAAAGGGAACAGCCCCACUCACCAGGAGAGAGUCUUCCACAGGCUUUCCAUCUGCAGGAACCAAACAAAAUCUCAUCCUUUCUGUACCUUGCCUCCCUGACUUGCCAUUCAGCUUCGAGGCUCCCUAAGAAAUUUGCUUUUCAGCGCCAAGGGCCAAUACAAUUAGACUUGUUUUUCUAACUCCGAAGCCAAGUUUCCCGCACACAAACACAGCAUAUCCUCCUCAAACUCACAAUUCCCCCUUGGGGAAACUCCCUCUUGUUCAUGUUGUAAGUAGUGCCUAAAACCAGCAGAAAAGAUGAAAAGGGGGGUUACCUGGCUUGUGGGCUGACGGGGGACCGGGUAUCCGACCGCAGGGCUGGCUCCACCUGUCUGACCCGCCAGGCUUGUCAUUGCCGCCGCCGCCAGGCCAGGGCUCACUGCCAGCGCCCGGACCGCCACAGGUGUGCAUUCACCUGCAGAGAGGUGCUCGCACCCAGGUCCCCUCCCCUGCCUGCUCCCCACCUGUGACCUGCUCCCACCCCCUCCAGCCAAUCAGGCACUGCGACAUCUCUCCUGCGUCAUUUCAAUUCUCAAUCUAAAGCUGAUGGAAAAAAAGAGCAAAAGGGAAGGGGAAAGAGAGAGGGGAGAGAGAAAACACCAGCCCCCAUACCCACCGGCAGGGCCUCGGUAACAGUCAGAGGUGGGGCCAGGUGGACCAGGAGCCUGAACAAAAGCCUUCCCAGUGAUCGGUGAUGGUCAGGGUCAAAUUCCAGGGCUGCUUUUUUCCCUCUGGGUGGCUAUUUUGGGAAAGCAGCUUUACGCCAGCAGUCGGCAGACUGGCUACCUCGGACGCUGGAAUCCGGAAGACUCAGAGCUCUGCCAGGUCCCAGCCCAGGUGAAGCAGGGAGAGCAGCCCUGGAGAGCAAAGGGUAGUUCCAGGUACCCCUGGAACCCGGACCCCUGCCCUGGGUGCACCCAAGCCCACCCAUCCUCCUGGCCCCACCCUUUCAGUAGGGCUCCCUGGGUACCUGGGGUACUGUCCAGUUUGUGCGAGGAGGUUCUGGUUUGAUGUGUUAACCAGGGGCUGAUGGGUACAGCUGGUGAGGCUAGUGGGGCUGGUGGCAACUGGAGUCCUUGGAGGCUGGAACUAGCUUCUUGUCCAGCCAAGUCGACAGUGAGCAUGGAGCUCUCAGCACUGGCUGAGUGUGAGGCCACAGGUGGUGCCUGGGGAGCGGGUCCAGGCAUCCCAACCACUGCUCAAGUUCAACCGCCUGCUUCAGAAGGCAGCCAAUUACACUGAGCCUCCUCGGAGAGCCACUGCAGAAGAGAAGCAGGGACGCCCUGGAGGAGAGCUGUGGACUCCCUGAGAUCUUCCGAUUUCCAGAGUUUUCUGGUUCAAGGCAGGUGCUAAUAAGUAAGAUCUAAAGGCCCUGCUAGUAAACUAGAACCCAUUUCCCUGAGGAGAGGGUGAGGCAGGGAAAGGAGCCCAAGAGAGAUCCAGAGGCGGAAUUUAGACGGAACCGACCUCCUGCCUCAGGGUUACAGCCCCUACUCACCAGACAUGGGUGGGAGAAUGCGUGGCCUCUGACCUCUGGAUCGGGUCAGUCCUUAGGGCUUCACUGUGCUUCGUGAGGCUCCAUCUCAAGCCAUUGGCUGUCACUGUGGCCCCAGGAGGGGCCACAAACAGGCCAGGCCUUGCUCGAGGGGCCUGAAGCAAGGGCGUGACUGCAGGUGGAUCCUCCUGGGGCCUGACUCCUUCCCCCGCCCCCUCCCCCAAUGCCCGAUCUCAAACAGCCAGUUCUUGGCCUUUCUCCAAGGCCAGUCCCAGGUCAGAGGCCUUAAGAAAAUCCCCCAAGCACUGGCCAAGGUCAGACCGCCCCGGCCCUUAGGUCAACGGCUCCUCACUGGGCUAAGACCCAAACUCACGGGAGACAACUGCAACUUCAGAAAACUGAACUGCCAGGGUGCUGACGAUACAGUCUUCAGCAACAGCCCCAUGUGGCUCAAGGCAAGGACUUCCUAAGCACAGCUAAAGAAGAAGUGUCUGCCUCCAGUUUGGAAGACAAGACUCUUUCAAAUUUACAUACCAAGUCCCAUGAUAAGUCACUCGGGAUCCCCCAAAGUAGAAAGGCUGCUUGCGGUGAGAGCUGGGUGAGCCAACAAAACAAACAACUGAGCCCGAUGACGUCAGCUUUUUGGAAAAGGAACAAAGACAACUGCACCCAAGUGAGCAGCCGCCUAUUGCGCCAAGGCAGUGGCCACCGAAAGCCCGUCCUGCAUCCUCAAGCCCAGAGGCUCUCCAUGGGGGGCGGGGGGGGGGAUUUUGUCAAUGUGACAAUGUCUGGAGAACUUUCUGGUGGUCACAAGUGGGAGGGGGUCGUUCCCCAUUGUGGCUCAGCGGGUUAAGAACCCGACACAGUGUCCCUGAGCAAUCCCUGGCCUUGCUCAGUGGAUUAAGGAUCCAGCAUUGCCGUGAGCUGCAGCAUGGUUUGUAGACGGGGCUCAGAGCCGGCAUUGCUGUGGCUGUGGUGUAGACCGGCAGCUCCAGCUCUGACUGGUCCCUUGCCUGGGAACUUCCACAUGCUGCAGGUGUAUUCAUAAAAAGAAAAAAAAAAAAAAAAAGCCAGGGUGGGGAUGCUACUGGCAAUUAGUGGAUACAGGCUGAUCCCAGCUCCCAAAGCAGAUUCAUCCACCCCCGGUGCUCCGGCACUGCCACUAGAAAAGGCUCUAACACCACGAAGAUUUCCAGCCCUUCUUUAAAAGUCCUGGAUGGGAGUUCCUGUUGUGGCACAGCGGAAACAAAUCUGACUAGUAUCCAUGAGAAUGUGAGUUCGAUCCAUAGCUUUGCUCAGUGGGUCAGGGAUCUGGAGUUGAGGUGAACUGUGGUGUGGGUCGCAGACAUGGCUCAGAUCUCAUGUUGCUGUGGCUGUGGCGUAGGCUGGCAGCUGUAGCUCCAAUUCGACCCCUAGCCCGGGCACCUCUGUAUGCCGCGGAUGUGGCCCUAAAAAGAAAAAAAAAAAAGUCCUGGAGAAAUGGCCACCUUUAGUCCCUGGACAUGUCCCCCAGCCCAGAGCACCACCUGCUCCCUGCCAGGCCAGGCGAUCUCAAGUUGGUAUCUUUGGAGGGGGCUCUAGGAACAGACCCCAGCUUGGGCGAGUUUCCUGGCUGCCCCAGGCCAAGGGUCCCAAUCGUCAGAACUGACACCCCCACACCCACUGUUCAGCGGCGGCAGAGCGUUCCCCUCAAAAGUACAGAGAGAGAGCGGUGACAGUUCUCAUCGUGACAGCGGUGACAGAGGACCUCAGCUGUGGCAGGUGCUUCCCAGGCGUCAAGGGCCUUUCACAUACUUCGUCUCAGCUGAAUAAGUAAGAGCCUCACCCAUUAAAGCGGUCUUUCUGCGUUCCUGACCUGCCAGGCCAGGGGAACAUGCAGGAGCCUCACCUCCAAGUGCCCGGGGUGGGGGGAGUGGAGGGGGGAGAGCCUGCGCCUUCCUUCACAGGCAGGGCACUGAGGGACCUGGAGCCCAGACCCCCGAGCUGGGUCCACCCGGCCUCCCCCCCGGGACCCCCAGACAAGCUGGGUGUGGGGGGCCCCAAGUAAGCAGAUUCGCAGAGCCACUCCCGCCUGGUAAGCUUCUGGGACUGGAGCUGGGCCAAUG